UUUAUGCCAUUUAUAAUUAAAUUUGGUCAAAAAAAAAUUGAGAUUUUAUGCUCUUGCUCUUGAGAUCUUAUGCUUUUACUUUAAAUUGUCUUUGAUUUUGGAGAGAAAGAAACAAAAAAAACUUGAAUGAUCGAUUACUUUUUUUUGAUUCUCUUAAAAUUGGGUGGGCAAAAAACAUCAGAUUGAUUCUUUCUAAUUUGAUUCACUUUCUUUCUCGACAAUAAAAUUUCAGAUCUAGUUUAGUUUUUAUUUUAUUCUCUGCUUUGAAAUCCAUGUUUGGGGUUUAGAAAUCUAGGUCAUAUGAUUUGUGUGUUUUUAUCGCUUGUGAAACGGAGCUUUGAGAUUUUCGAUUUUUGAUUUUGAAAUUAGGCUAAGGAGAGGAAGAAAGAGAUUAUCAAGCUUCAGGAAGAUCUCAAGGAUGCUGAAAGUGCUUUUCAUCGUGAUUUAUUCCCAGCGAAUGCUUCUUGCAAGUGUUAUUUCUUUGAAGGUAACUUGGGAGUAUUCAGCGGUAUGAGGAUUGGAGAAGCUUCUGAAGCCAGAUUUAAUGAUGGUCUUCGUCGUAGAUUUCUCAGACUAGCGAGGAUAAGGAGGAGAAAGAAAUCAACUCAAUAAUCUAAAAGAUUGCGGUCCUCAGGUUAUAGUCAGAAUGAAGCCUCCAAGCAAAGGUGAGGAAGAGGAGAUGAUAGUUAAAAAGCUCUCCAACGAUGCCUCACACUAUCAAUGAACAGACUUUCACAUUCGACUCGAUUGCUGUCCCGGAGUCAACUCA
Non-coding RNA from Camelina sativa (false flax), 769 nucleotides. The record is from RefSeq and is a predicted model, not a curated record. NCBI's taxonomy places the organism in Eukaryota, Viridiplantae, Streptophyta, Magnoliopsida, Brassicales, Brassicaceae.